AGCAUUGGAGACAGGUGGUGCAUGGUUGUCGUCAGCUCGUGUCGUGAGAUGUUGGGUUAAGUCCCGCAACGAGCGCAACCCUUAUCCUCAGUAGCCAGCAGGUAAAGCUGGGCACUCUGUGGAAACUGCCAGGGAUAACCUGGAGGAAGGUGGGGAUGACGUCAAAUCAUCAUGCCCCUUAUGAUCUGGGCUACACACGUGCUACAAUGGCGUAAACAAAGGGAGGCAAAGCCGCGAGGUGAAGCAAAUCCCAAAAAUAACGUCUCAGUUCGGAUUGCAGUCUGCAACUCGACUGCACGAAGCUGGAAUCGCUAGUAAUCGCGAAUCAAAAUGCCGCGGUGAAUACGUUCCCGGGUCUG
Molecule: ribosomal RNA, 359 nt
Filed under: uncultured Ruminococcus sp.
Lineage: Bacteria; Bacillati; Bacillota; Clostridia; Eubacteriales; Oscillospiraceae
Description: bacterial SSU rRNA
Rfam family: Bacterial small subunit ribosomal RNA
Source: RNAcentral